GGUGGCUCAGUGGUAGAGUACUUGCCUUGCAUGCAUUAGGCCCUGGGUUCGAUUCCUCAGCACCA
Molecule: transfer RNA, 65 nt
Filed under: Dipodomys ordii (Ord's kangaroo rat)
Lineage: Eukaryota; Metazoa; Chordata; Mammalia; Rodentia; Heteromyidae
Rfam family: tRNA
About the family: Transfer RNA (tRNA) molecules are approximately 80 nucleotides in length. Their secondary structure includes four short double-helical elements and three loops (D, anti-codon, and T loops).
Source: Rfam by way of RNAcentral